UACGGAGGGUGCUAGCGUUGAUCGGAAUUACUGGGCGUAAAGCGCACGUAGGCGGCGUUGUAAGUCGGGGGUGAAAGCCCGAGGCUCAACCUCGGAAUUGCAUCCGAGACUGCAUUUCUGGAGUACGGAAGAGGAGGGUGGAAUUCCUGGUGUAGCGGUGAAAUGCGUAGAUAUCGGGAAGAACAUCAGUGGCGAAGGCGGCCCACUGGUCCAGUACUGACGCUAAAGUGCGAAAGCGUGGGGAGCAAACAGG
This 253-nucleotide ribosomal RNA is filed under the name uncultured bacterium. RNAcentral's name for it is "partial 16S ribosomal RNA". It matches the Rfam family "Bacterial small subunit ribosomal RNA", at positions 524 to 776 of the family's 1533-position model. The record is from RNAcentral.